UACGUAGGGUGCAAGCGUUGUCCGGAAUUAUUGGGCGUAAAGAGCUCGUAGGCGGUCUGUCGCGUCUGCUGUGAAAACUCAGGGCUUAACCCUGAGCUUGCAGUGGGUACGGGCAGACUAGAGUGCGGUAGGGGAGACUGGAAUUCCUGGUGUAGCGGUGAAAUGCGCAGAUAUCAGGAAGAACACCCGUGGCUAAGGCGGCUCUCUAGUACGGUACUGACGCUGAGACGCGAAAGCGUGGGGAGCAAACAGG
Molecule: ribosomal RNA, 253 nt
Filed under: uncultured bacterium
Lineage: Bacteria
Description: partial 16S ribosomal RNA
Rfam family: Bacterial small subunit ribosomal RNA
Source: RNAcentral